AAGUCGUAACAAGGUUACCGUAGAUGAAUCUGCGGUAGGAUCAUUAACAAUGUAUCUCAACCUAUGUAUGUGCACUGUACCGUGAACUUGGCGCCGCUGAUUUCAUUGCUCUAAUGGGCGUGGGAUCAACGCGUCAAUGAAACUUUGUGUGAGAGUGUAAUUAAAAGUAAAUUAUAUACAACUUUUAGCAAUGGAUCUCUUGGCUCUC
RNAcentral lists this unclassified non-coding RNA (208 nucleotides) under fungal sp. RNAcentral's name for it is "partial internal transcribed spacer region". The stretch from base 1 to 46 matches the Rfam family "Eukaryotic small subunit ribosomal RNA", at positions 1786 to 1831 of the family's 1831-position model. The record is from RNAcentral. Lineage: Eukaryota; Fungi.